RNAcentral lists this long non-coding RNA (1326 nucleotides) under Equus asinus (donkey). RNAcentral's name for it is "lncRNA (ENSEASG00005027142.1)". Lineage: Eukaryota; Metazoa; Chordata; Mammalia; Perissodactyla; Equidae. The record is from RNAcentral.
UUAAAUCUGAGGAUUAUAACCCGGGGCCUUCCUUCCUGAAGGAAGAAAGGGCACCAAAGAAGUGGGGUGCACAGACUGGUUAUAUACCCCAGAGAGGAUGUUUCACAUAGGAUUGAAAUGUCCCUUUUACAAUAGUCGGGAGACUGCUCUGUCGGCACAGCGAUUGAUGGAAACAGCAGGAAGCCCAGGGUGUUUGCUGGGAGCGGGAACGGAAGAAGGAAUUUUUCCAGCACUCAACACAAGGUGGCGCCAGACACCCGUGGACGUCAUGAGGUCCCCCUCCUGGUGGGCUCCAGAAGCUGCGAAAAUUCCCUGAAAUUCGAGUCAGGCCGGAUUCAAGGAGAUGGGAAGGAGUAACACAGUGGCCAGACAGACGGAAUCUAAGAAACCUCCGAAGAGAAAAAGAAAGGAACGGGCGGCGGAAUCCCCGCGGGACCGGAGACAGGCUGCAUACUCCUAAGGACUUGUUGCCAGAUUGCUCUGUCCUAGAGCCGCUCGUGAUCCCCAGCCUGUGUGGCUGUGCCUCGGCUUCUUGGCAGCCUGUGAUUCUGGUGCUUGCAUUCACGUGUCUGCAGAGGAGGCUGCAACCUGCCCCACCCCCAUUUUCUGCUCUGCCUUUUCAUUGUCCACAGGACUUAGAAACUCCCAGUAUACUAGUCAAUUCACAUAAUAAAAUAGUUACUAUUAUUAUUUUAUUUUGUAUUACUUUAUUAUUACUGUUUCCCCUUUCCCCCCUUCGGAAUGUAAGCCUCAUGGAGCAAGCAUUUUUGUUCAUUGGACCCUGGCAGUUGUCCCCUGAAUGCAGGACUAAGAAAGCUGGGCUCGAUUCUGGGGUUGGGGGUACCCUCCUGGGUUGAACAAUAGCAAGGACUUCAACAGAUGCUCAGUCUUCCUGUUGUCCUGUUGUUGCCUCUUUUCACUCAUUAGAGAGUCCCGGUGUAAAGGGCCAGGUGAUGGGGGUAAAUCCGAGGGGAGGGGAGGAGGCUUGGGGAGUCAGGAUAUAAGUGCCCCAGGAGAGAGGGAAUAACCCGCUAUGGCGGAGGCAGCCCCUCUACUGUCAGGGGCUAGCACAAUGUCUCCUGCAUGAUUGGGCCUCAAUAAAUGCGUGUGGGGGACAUGGGAAGACAACAGAAUAAUCGAGAGAAAUUUCUGUGUAUUUAUAUAUGCCAGCAAGAAUGGAUGGGCACUGGGACUAAUUGUGAGAGGGACUCAAGCAGAAGAAAGUCAGGGGUCAUUUCUGGGUUCUGGGCCUGGACAGACGACAGAGGGACGGUGGCCCCCGGUGAAGGCUCAGGGAAGAGGGAAGAGAGAGGAUGAGGACCAGUG